This is a long non-coding RNA of Carica papaya (papaya), 1014 nucleotides long. RefSeq lists it as uncharacterized. NCBI's taxonomy places the organism in Eukaryota, Viridiplantae, Streptophyta, Magnoliopsida, Brassicales, Caricaceae. The record is from RefSeq and is a predicted model, not a curated record.
UGGUUUCUUUCUUCUCCUGUGUCGCUUUCCAAUUUACAGCCUUUUCAACUUCGCAACUCCCGAUUUCCAAAUUGCAGACCCGAAUGAAUAAAGAGAAAAGAAGCCUUUUCUCACUUCCCAAUUUCACACCGCAAUGUUAAUAGAAAACGCAACAGACGACCAAUGUUUUCCUCAGAGGGAGAUCCACCGUUUUAUCCUUGUCUUAACGGGAGAGAUCAAGUGGUUCUGCUCCGAUCCCCGGCUUUAAUCAGUUGAUCUGUUCUAGAGGUUCGUACUUCUAUGUCCUUGAGUUCUAUGGAGACAGGAUCUCAAGUCUUCUGGAUGAAUUGGGAACAUGUGAUGAUCAGAACGUGAUUAAUGACAGAGACGGUUCUUGAACUAUUGAUGUUGUAGAUGAUCGUUCUCAGUUGGGUUUGAUCUUGACUUGGGUGGUCACUCAAUUACCUGACAGACUUCCUUAUUUUUUAUUAAAAAAAAAAAAUUUAGUUUUUCAGUAGUGUAUAAGUAUCAAGUUAUUUACCUGAUUCUGAAUAUAUUUAAAGUUUUUAUGCCGGAUUUUUCAAAGACUUUUUCUGUUUUUAGUUUUUAUUUAUUAUUUUUUCCUUUAUGCGAAAAAGUAACCAACCUGUAACAGACUUGGUUUUUGCUUACCAUUGAAGUUGAUAAAAACAAAUUAACUGAACUGUUGAGAUUUGGAUUUAGAAGCUCAAGAAUGAGAAAUAGUUACAAUCUACUGUUGUUCUGCCUGACAUGUGCACGAGCAUACAUGAGGAAGUUCUUCCUGCCAUGCACACGAGCAUACAUGAGGAAGUUUUAUCUUUUCAAUUGGAAUCAUGGCAUGGCAUUAAUGCAAAUUGGUGUAGUUCUCUGAGACUACACAAUCCUCUGACAUAAUUGAUUUCCACGUAUAUAUGUAUCAAGUGCAACUUUAGAUCUUGUAUAGAUAAAUUUUAUUGAUGGAUAAUUAAUGUAUGAUAAUACCAGUGAUUGAAUGAUAAUGAUAUAUGAUAAGAA